CCUACGGGAGGCUGCAGUGGGGAAUAUUGCGCAAUGGGCGAAAGCCUGACGCAGCGACGCCGCGUGCGGGAUGAAGGUCUUCGGAUCGUAAACCUCUGUCAGCAGGGAAGAACGGUCACUGUGCUAAUCAGCAGUGAAUUGACGGUACCUGCAAAGGAAGCACCGGCUAACUCCGUGCCAGCAGCCGCGGUAAUACGGAGGGUGCGAGCGUUAAUCGGAAUUACUGGGCGUAAAGCGCUCGUAGGCGGUAUGUCAAGUCAAGGGUGAAAUCCCCGGGCUCAACGUGGGAACUGCCUUUGAAACUGGCAAACUGGAGUGUGUGAGAGGUUAGUGGAAUUCCAGGUGUAGGAGUGAAAUGCGUAGAUAUCUGGAGGAACAUCAGUGGCGAAGGCGACUAUCUGGCACAUAACUGACGCUGAGGAGCGAAAGCGUGGGUAGCAAACAGGAUUAGAUACCCGGGUAGUC
RNAcentral lists this ribosomal RNA (465 nucleotides) under uncultured bacterium. RNAcentral describes it as "partial 16S ribosomal RNA". It matches the Rfam family "Bacterial small subunit ribosomal RNA", at positions 338 to 795 of the family's 1533-position model. The record is from RNAcentral.